AACGCGAAGAACCUUACCUGGUCUUGACAUCCUGGGAAUCCUGUAGAGAUACGGGAGUGCUCGCAAGGAACCCAGAGACAGGUGCUGCAUGGCAUGUCGUCAGCUCGUGUCGUGAGAUGUUGGGUUAAGUCCCGCAACGAGCGCUAACCCUUGUCCUUAGUUGCCAUCUUUAAGUUGGGCGCUCUAAGGAGACCGCCGGUGACAAACCGGAGGUAAGGUGGGGAUGACGUCAAGUCAUCAUGGCCUUCUACUGACCAGGGCUACACACGUGCUACAAUGGUAGAAACAGAGGGAAGCCAACGCGCGAGCGGGAGCCAAUCCCAGCAAAUCUAUCGUAGUCCGGAUUGGAAGUCUGCCACUCGACUCCAUGAAGUCGGAAUCGCUAGUAAUCGCAGAUCAGCAUUGCUGCGGUGGAUACGUUCCCGGGUCUUGAUACACACCG
Molecule: ribosomal RNA, 442 nt
Filed under: uncultured bacterium
Lineage: Bacteria
Description: bacterial SSU rRNA
Rfam family: Bacterial small subunit ribosomal RNA
Source: RNAcentral